This 164-nucleotide ribosomal RNA is filed under the name Dendrobium lawesii. RNAcentral describes it as "5.8S ribosomal RNA". It matches the Rfam family "5.8S ribosomal RNA". From Rfam's summary of the family: 5.8S ribosomal RNA (5.8S rRNA) is a component of the large subunit of the eukaryotic ribosome. It is transcribed by RNA polymerase I as part of the 45S precursor that also contains 18S and 28S rRNA. RNAcentral also lists the same sequence under 1 other name. The record is from RNAcentral. Lineage: Eukaryota; Viridiplantae; Streptophyta; Magnoliopsida; Asparagales; Orchidaceae.
GACAUGACUCUCGGCAAUGGAUAUCUCGGCUCUCGCAUCGAUGAAGAGCGCAGCGAAAUGCGAUACGUGGUGCGAAUUGCAGAAUCCCGCGAACCAUCGAGUCUUUGAACGCAAGUUGCGCCCGAGGCCAAACAGCCAAGGGCACGUCUGCCUGGGCGUCAAGC